UACGUAGGGGGCAAGCGUUAUCCGGAUUUACUGGGUGUAAAGGGAGCGUAGACGGCGAUGCAAGUCUGAAGUGAAAGGCGGGGGCCCAACCCCCGGACUGCUCUGGAAACUGUGUAACUUGAGUGCAGGAGAGGCAGACGGAAUUCCUAGUGUAGCGGUGAAAUGCGUAGAUAUUAGGAGGAACACCAGUGGCGAAGGCGGUCUGCUGGACAGCAACUGACGCUGAGGCGCGAAAGCGUGGGGAGCAAACAGG
Molecule: ribosomal RNA, 253 nt
Filed under: uncultured Eubacteriales bacterium
Lineage: Bacteria; Bacillati; Bacillota; Clostridia; Eubacteriales
Description: uncultured Clostridiales bacterium partial 16S ribosomal RNA
Rfam family: Bacterial small subunit ribosomal RNA
Source: RNAcentral